UUUAUUUUUAUGUUUUUUCUUUUCUUUUGAUGCACUCAAUGUUGAUAUUUUUGUGGUUUUUGGGUCCAUGCUGAUCUCAUCAAUAAUAAUCAUCUUGCGCGGGGAAGGUAAUUACUGAAACAUUAUAAAAUACACAAUUAGUUUUAAUUAACUAAAAAUCAUGACAUGUAAUCUAAUACCUUUUUUUAAGUGUGAAACUGAAUCAAGACAUGGAUUUGAAUCCAUGUUUUACAUUCAUAUGUGCUGUUGACAUAAAAUGUUUUUUUAAUUAAGUAAAUAUUUGACCGACUUGUUUGAAUAAAAAUUACACAGAGCAACGCCAUUCCAACAAUCAUUUUUUUUGUUCCUGAAGAAGCAUCAAUUUAAUAAUGUAAAAGUCUGACCCGAUCUUUUUUUUACAAUUAUUGAAUUAUUAUUAUAUUUUACAUUAAAACAUUUUAGUUUCUUUUAUUAAAAAAAGAUUUAAAAGAUCCAACUCUUAAUAGAUUUCGUAGGAGAAAACUAAAACACAAAAUAUCUACAAAAAUAUUUAACAGUAAUAAAAAAAUUCUAACCGCUCAAUCGGAAGAUAAGUAAAUGUCAGAAUACGCCUAUGGACAACUAAGGGCAUCUCCAAUGCAACACUAAAAUUUACUCUAUAUUUCAUUCUAAAAUAAAGUAACUCUAUUAUAGACUUGAAUUUGCUCCAAUAGUUCACUCUAUAAUAGAUUUACUCUAUAAUAUAGUGAAAUAUAGAGUAAUCUUAUUUUUUUACUCUAUAUUUGGAGUAAAAAAAAACAAGAUUACUCUAUAUUUCACACUAAUAUAGAGUAACUCUAUUAUAGAGUGAACCAUUGGAGUAAAUCCAACUCUAUAAUAGAGUUACUCUAUUUUAAAAUGAAAUAUAGAAUAAAUUUUAGUGUAGCAUUGUAGAUGGUCUAACCACCAAAAACGGCAGAGAUUAGACAAGCCUCUGAUGAACUGAAUACCAAAGCACACCGACAAGACCACCACCUGAUAGAAUUGAACUACAAAUACCAAAACACAAAAGAUUAUGAAGGAGAAGCUCCUCGAUGGAACAUAAAAAGUAGGAUUACGAGAAGAAAGAUGCUAAUUCGACCAGGGAUCAACCGUUGCCAUAGCUAGUCGCUGCUGAAGCUCCUUUCAAGAUUCGUUGCAGCCCUCAACGCAACGAGCUACUCAUCAGCCACCAGUAGUUCAAACAAACUAACUAAACAAACUAAAGAUCUUCACUGCUAUAGCCACUAUAACG
RNAcentral lists this long non-coding RNA (1252 nucleotides) under Brassica rapa (field mustard). RNAcentral describes it as "long non-coding RNA (BRAP_LNC002108)". The record is from RNAcentral. Lineage: Eukaryota; Viridiplantae; Streptophyta; Magnoliopsida; Brassicales; Brassicaceae.